CACUGAUAAUUUGAUCGUCCUCGAUUUCGUUAAUUUCAAGUGGGCGGCAUGUGACUAUCGAGACCCUCUUGAGAGAACAAAAGAACGAUAACAAAUUAUGACAGCAAUAUAGUGGGGUUUUAGUUUGAGUCGGAUCGUCAGUGAAUGUGUUUCUUGUCUUUUGGUGGUUAUUGAGGAUCUGAUUUUGUGUUGUGUGUUUUUUUAGUAAUUUAUGCCCAGAAACUUGAUUAAAACGUAAAUUUUUUCACGGUUUAAAGGUUAUGCAUGUAUACGUACAUGGUAUAAUUAACACGAGUACCGGAGAGUAAAGUAUGUAUAAGUGUUUCUUUAUGAAAUAGCCUUGAGUUUGGUCAAAUAUCUUUUUUAAUCGCCGAGAUUUUGAAAUUUAACAGUGAAAAAAGGAGAAAGGCGAGAAGCGUGUAAAAAGGGUGUUUUUUAAAUAUUUUGGGCAAAUCUCAAGAUAUAGUGCAAUUCUGAGGUUAGAAUUUGAAUUCAGAGCAUCGAAAGCCUUCAGAAAAGUAACAUUAGUCUUCUGGGAAACAAUUUACUUUAAUAAAACAUUAUAUUCAAUAUUAUUUUAAGGAAAUAAACUUGUAAUUUUGUUUGUGUUUUAUUUUCACAUACCUUUUAGAGGAUGCUGGUGUUGGAGGUACGUUUUAGUGCCAAAAAUGAACAAAGUUCUCAAACGUACAUAGCAAUAAACGAAUGUACAAAAUAAUAGAUCUAAAUUAUCGUGGAAUACAAGAAAACUGGAAGAACAAUUUAUUUAAUUUUGCAAAGAUAUUUUUUUUUUCCAAAGUACAAUCUAAAGCAGUGGGAAUAGACGGUAUGAGUUCAUAUCUCUUAAAACUCUAUUGUCCAUAUAUUGUCCAUGUUAUUAUACAGGGUGUUUCAGAACUAUGGGAAUAAACUUCUGGAGGUUAUUCAGUGCAACAGAAGAACCCAUUUGAGUAUAGGAACCCAUGUCCGAAAAUGCGUCACUACGCCACUACGGCCCAAAGAUGGGUUAAAAUUUGUAAAAAACAUUAAUUACCUAAAUAGGAUCUGCUGCAUUUAUUUUUACCUUUUGUACAUGAUACCAUAACAACAAUUGUUUAAAAUUAACGCUCAUCAAUGUCAAUUCUCAAUGUCAUGUUUAAAAAUUUUAUAGCUUACAAUUUUUAAACAUAUAUUGCUAAUGGAAAACUUUACCAAUCAAGAAUUGGCGGAUAUGCAUUUGGCAUACGGAGCAACAAACUGCAAUGCACGAGCAGCGUCGCGGUUGUAUCAUGAACGUUAUCCUGAACGACAGCAUCCUGGAUAUAAAAAGUUUAUUGUGGUUUGUCGGCGGCUCGCUGAGACAGGCAUCUUUAAGACCAAGAUGCAUGAUACUGGUAUUGCUCGAACCGUAAGAACGGUCGAAUUUGAAGAAGAGGUGCUUCAGCGAGUUGCCGAUGAACCAUCAAAUAGCACAGGUGAAGUCGCUAAGAAUAUGAAUACGAGUAACGCUUCUGUCUGGCGGGUACACGAGCAACAACUCCAUCCUUACCACUUCCAGAAAGUUCAAGGGUUGGUUCGUACAUAAAAGAUCAAACACUUGUAUGCCGGUAUUCCUUCACUGUAGAAUAAGCGUGUUGGCAACAUUGGGGCAUCUUUGAGCAUCACUUGAGAUUAGUUUAUAAAAAUUAGGAUCUUUGGGAAUCGCAUACUACAAGGUAGAUUAAAGAUUUUUCGGAGCAAUAUAGCAUCGAGCUACAAGGGCUUUGAAAACCUCCAAUGGUUCGGCAUAAUUCUCGAUCCCAACCUAGAAAUGAGCUUAGAUUUCCUUAAAGUUACGAACUAUUCCAGAUGGAACGCACGCAGCUACAUCAAAAGAAUUUAUUCAGAAUGCAGAAAGAACAAACAGGCCAAGAACUAUCGAUAUAGUUGAAUCUGUUAAACGAAAUCCAGGUACCAGACAUAUCGAAUGAUAUUAUAACGCAAUAACAACACAGUUCCGGCCCAUUUCAUAUAGAAGUUUAUCCAUUGAUGUUCAGUUCCAAAUCAGUGGCUCUGAUGAAGAAAGAAAGCAAACCGAGGAAAAAUAACAAAUUGGUUGUACCAGCCUUAGAGCAGUACUCCUAGUGGAAUGAAAAAAAGAGAGAAUCUCAAACAAGCCUCCAUUUAUUACACCAGUUAUCAAGAGAGCAGUAGAGGUAUAAUUUUGGUAUAAUGUUAUUGUAAAUAUUUAUUAAUGUUUUUUUCCGUAAACUAAUGUAGCGGCUUACUGCCGGUCAGUUUCUGAACUGCCAUUGUGGACGUCAUCGUUUUCACAAACUAAAACAAUUUUAGACGUUUAUUUGAAUCUAGAUUAGUCCUAAUUUAUAUUGUGAAUAACAUUAUGAGUUUUCUUAUCUGUUGUAUCCCCUGUACGACCAUCAAUAAAUAAAUAAAAAUAAAAUAAUCAUAAAGUCUUUAUUGACCCUCACACAUAUGAUGAAAAAGUCUUAUUUUCGAUCCUGCGCAUAUCUACAAGUCAUAGCUUGCGACGUGGUCAUCAUAGGAUGGGUCGGAGGUAAAGUCUUCCGCGAGAUGGCGACUCCUCUGGCCAUUUCCGGUCUGUAGCCGGCGUAACUGGGCGAGGGCAUAUCGUGGGCCAAUCGCAGCCGUUCCUCACCCACCGCCUUCGCAAUUUCCUCUUUCGUUUCUUCACUCACCAGGUUCUUAAGGGGAUCCACGCAUGCGCCACACCUAAUUCAAUACAAAGUUCACAGAUGUGAUAAAUGUUUUAAAAAAUCACUUAUGUAAACGCCCCUUUAGUAGUAAACUUUUUACUAAAUAUAUUAGUUGUUGUCCUACUGACUGCUCCGUGUAGUCAUGUGUUUUUGGAGUUUGAGGAGGUAAAUAAUAGAAUGUCUUUCAAUUGAGAUGACAAAAUGGCUGUUGUAUCUACUAAAGGUGCUUUUACAUGAGCCACUAUAUAUUUCUCAUUAUCUAAGCGACAAAAGUAUAUAACGCAAGAGGCAAGUAGAAGUGUCUUUGGGGAAGGUUUCUUACAAGACGGGCGGAUCUUUAUUAAUCCAAAACUGCGCAGUCGGGUCCGAGGAGCCCCUCCUCUGUUGGUCGUCCCACGGUUUUCCCUCUUUGAUAAAUCGUUCCUCCAACGGGGGAUAGAGGUCGGUUUGCAAACUGACCAGGUCGCGGGUUUCGAUUUUCGAAAAAUUCGGAAUUUUCGGCUUGAAACCGGACGCACCCUCGAUUUCCGCAUUGCGCCACUCGCUGGUGUAGACGAACUGGCAGAGCAGCCGACGCAUCUCUGGAUCUGGCACGUCGUCCAGGCUGCAUGCCGGAGUCAUGUAAAUUCUUGGACGCGUUUUUUGGGCUUCCAGUUUAUCGACUUCCGGUAGAGGCGCCUAUAAAAGUCAAUUUAAAUUGGGUCAAAGGGUAUUGGAUAGUGUUAACGAAUAAUGAACCAAGGGCCAAUUCGUCAAAAUUGAGUUUUCUUAACAGGUGUAGUAAGGAUGUAGUACCAAUAUAGUUAUUCUAAGUCUUUCUACUACUGUAGAUGUAUUAAAUUAUGAAUAUAGCGGUCAAGAAACUGUUUAGAUUCUUCGUUUAUGUUAGAUACCAUUGAGGUAACUAAUAGUGUUUGUGGGUUACUAAACCUUUCAAAUAAACAACUUCUAUCUUCGAGAUAGAUAGGAUCGAGACUCUUCAAGUUUCUUUAAUAUUCUUCCACGUCAGCAUCGCUUAACUCUGUAUAUAGGGGGUCUUAUAGAUCAUCGUCAACAUAGAUUUAUGAAAGGUAGAUCUACCACCACAAACUUAGUUUGUCUUACAGAACAUAUAUCUGAGUCAAUAAAUGCCAGGUCACAGGUUGACGUUAUUUAUACAGACUUCUCGAAGGCUUUUGACCGUCUGGAUCAUGGUAUUCUUCUAAAUAAUCUUGACCAAAACUACGGUUUUUCUUCUCAUCUAAUACACUUUUUUAGCUUUUAUCUUACGGGUCGUCUUCAGCACGUGGAAUGUUAUGGCCGUAGUUCGGCUCAGAUAGUUGCAACGUCUGGAGUUCCACAGGGCUCCAUAUUGGGGCCGCUCUUCUUCAACACAUUUAUUAAUAGUAUAUCGGAACAGCUCACUGUAAAUAAUUUGUUAUAUGCGGAUGAUACAAAAUUGUAUUAUGGCAUCAAUAGUAUCUUAGAUUGUAUGGAAUUGCAAAAUAAUAUUAAUCUCCUCAAUGCAUGGUGCAAAAAUAACAAUCUUCCUCUUAAUGCUGCCAAGUGUAAAGUUGUUUCUUACUCUUUGAAGAAAAACCUGAUUAUGUAUGACUAUACUAUGGACAGUGAGACUGUCCCGAGAUCAACGGAAUUCAAGGAUUUGGGGGUGACAUUCGACAGCACUCUUUCCUUUCAGCCACACAUUCAGGACAUUGUUAAUCGGAGCUACAGAGUGCUGGGUUUGGCAUUAGGAACGCACAUAGCUUUAAUAAUAACUUUAGUCUUAAAAUUUUGUAUUUUUCUUAUGUGAGAUUAACACUGGAAUAUGCUUCUUCUGUGUGGUCACCAUUUUAUAUGAAUCAUAUACAUGAACUAGAAAAUCUUCAGCGUAAAUUCCUAAAGUUCCUUUCAUAUAAAUGUGACGGAGUGUACCCAGAAAUUGGUUUUUCACGCCUACUAGAAAGGUACUCCUUUAGUAGUCUUGAGGAGAGGCGAAAAUCUGCUGAUCUGAAAUUUUUAUUUAAACUUCUUAAUAAUAAAAUUGAUUCGCCAGACUUAUGUAAAUCUUCAUGUGCCCCGCAUAUCAUCUAGAAAUUCUGACAUAUUUUACCUAUCUAGACCUAGAACGAAUAUUUGUAAAUAUUCUUCAAUGCGUAGAGCAUGUGGCACUUUUAAUUCUGUUCAGGAUCAAUGUGACAUAUUCAACUGCAGUUUGUCCGAAAUUAAAAGAGUACGCGUUUCAUAGAUAGUAGACAUAAACAAAAUUAUUUUUUA
Long non-coding RNA from Anthonomus grandis grandis, 4949 nucleotides. RefSeq lists it as uncharacterized. The record is from RefSeq and is a predicted model, not a curated record. The transcript is spliced from 4 exons. Lineage: Eukaryota; Metazoa; Arthropoda; Insecta; Coleoptera; Curculionidae.